RNAcentral lists this ribosomal RNA (551 nucleotides) under uncultured bacterium. Its description in RNAcentral is "bacterial SSU rRNA". It matches the Rfam family "Bacterial small subunit ribosomal RNA", at positions 354 to 896 of the family's 1533-position model. The record is from RNAcentral.
GUGAGGAAUUUUGCGCAAUGGGGGAAACCCUGACGCAGCAACGCCGCGUGAGUGAAGAAGGCCCUUGGGUCGUAAAGCUCUGUCAACUGGGAAGAAGUNGGCCGGAUUUAAUAGAUAAGGUCAUUGACGGUACCAGUGGAGGAAGCGCCGGCUAACUCCGUGCCAGCAGCCGCGGUAACACGGGGGGCGCAAGCGUUAUUCGGAAUUAUUGGGCGUAAAGGGCGCGUAGGCGGUUCUGUCGGUCAGAUGUGAAAGCCCGGGGCUCAACCCUGGAAGUGCAUUUGAAACAGCAGAACUUGAGUACGGGAGAGGAAAGCGGAAUUCCUGGUGUAGAGGUGAAAUUCGUAGAUAUCAGGAGGAACACCGAUGGCGAAGGCAGCUUUCUGGACCGAUACUGACGCUGAGGCGCGAAGGCGUGGGUAGCGAACAGGAUUAGAUACCCUGGUAGUCCACGCAGUAAACGAUGUUCACUAGGUGUAGCGGGUAUUAAAACCUGCUGUGCCGGAGUUAACGCAUUAAGUGAACCGCCUGGAAGUACGGUCGCAAGACUA